RNAcentral lists this ribosomal RNA (460 nucleotides) under uncultured bacterium. RNAcentral's name for it is "partial 16S ribosomal RNA". It matches the Rfam family "Bacterial small subunit ribosomal RNA", at positions 338 to 795 of the family's 1533-position model. The record is from RNAcentral.
CCUACGGGAGGCAGCAGUGAGGAAUAUUGGUCAAUGGACGAGAGUCUGAACCAGCCAAGUAGCGUGAAGGAUGACUGCCCUAUGGGUUGUAAACUUCUUUUAUAAAGGAAUAAAACGAGGCACGUGUGCCUUUUUGCAUGUACUUUAUGAAUAAGGAUCGGCUAACUCCGUGCCAGCAGCCGCGGUAAUACGGAGGAUCCGAGCGUUAUCCGGAUUUAUUGGGUUUAAAGGGAGCGUAGAUGGGUUGUUAAGUCAGUUGUGAAAGUUUGCGGCUCAACCGUAAAAUUGCAAUUGAUACUGGCAGUCUUGAGUACAGUUGAGGUAGGCGGAAUUCGUGGUGUAGCCGUGAAAUGCUUAGAUAUCACGAAGAACCCCGAUUGCGAAGGCAGCUUACUAAACUGUGACUGACAUUGAUGCUCGAAAGUGUGGGUAUCAAACAGGAUUAGAUACCCCUGUAGUC